RNAcentral lists this ribosomal RNA (490 nucleotides) under uncultured bacterium. Its description in RNAcentral is "partial 16S ribosomal RNA". It matches the Rfam family "Bacterial small subunit ribosomal RNA", at positions 30 to 507 of the family's 1533-position model. The record is from RNAcentral.
AUUGAACGCUGGCGGCAGGCCUAACACAUGCAAGUCGAACGGUAACAGGAAGAAGCUUGCUUCUUUGCUGACGAGUGGCGGACGGGUGAGUAAUGUCUGGGAAACUGCCUGAUGGAGGGGGAUAACUACUGGAAACGGUAGCUAAUACCGCAUAACGUCGCAAGACCAAAGAGGGGGACCUUCGGGCCUCUUGCCAUCGGAUGUGCCCAGAUGGGAUUAGCUAGUAGGUGGGGUAACGGCUCACCUCGGCGACGAUCUCUAGCUGGUCUGAGAGGAUGACCAGCCACACUGGAACUGAGACACGGUCCAGACUCCUACGGGAGGCAGCAGUGGGGAAUAUUGCACAAUGGGCGCAAGCCUGAUGCAGCCAUGCCGCGUGUAUGAAGAAGGCCUUCGGGUUGUAAAGUACUUUCAGCGGGGAGGAAGGGAGUAAAGUUAAUACCUUUACUCAUUGACGUUACCCGCAGAAGAAGCACCGGCUAACUCCGUG